GGGAGCAUGACUCAGUCACGGUCUGAGAGCUGGACUAUGACUCUGGGGGUCAGGGUUCGAUUCCCCGCUCGGCCG
This is a non-coding RNA of Phrynosoma platyrhinos (Desert horned lizard), 75 nucleotides long. Lineage: Eukaryota; Metazoa; Chordata; Lepidosauria; Squamata; Phrynosomatidae. The record is from the annotation of a GenBank genome assembly.